RNAcentral lists this transfer RNA (64 nucleotides) under Pessoaiella absita. RNAcentral describes it as "tRNA-Leu". The record is from RNAcentral. Lineage: Eukaryota; Metazoa; Arthropoda; Insecta; Psocodea; Philopteridae.
CAUUGUAGCAAAUAAGUGCAGCAAAUUUAAACUUUGCUUAUAGGUUGUUCCGACCUCGUUGGUG